UGAACAAAACACGCAAGAAAUAAAAACGUAAAUAAAGAUGAAAACGCAGGAGAAAAUGACUUGGCUAUGGGUCUGAAUCACAUUCAGCGAAGUAUUCUAAAACAGUUACCAAAGGUUUCCAACUUUAAUGCCUCAUAACUGUGUUUGACACUUGAGCCACAGCAAGUGGCCAGUGAGCACGGAGUGAGCGCCUCUUGUGCGUGACGGAUACCAAGACCAUCCUGGAGGAAGAGUCUGCAGAGACCGCAGGCGGGUCGCGGACAAGUGCAGCUGGCCCAUGCCAGGCGCCUCGCGGGUGCAGAGGGAGGAAAACCACGGGUUCUGUCCACCAGAAGGCAAGGACCUUCCUUCCUCUCUAGCUCCAACCUCCCAGAAAGCCCGAUGCUGUGUGACCUGUGGGCUUUACAACAAGGCCUGAGACUCCAGGUUUUGUUUCCCCAGGACUAUGCCGUCACUGCCAGGAAGUGGCUACCGAUCAGGAGGCCGGCACGAUGACUGUGUCGUGACAGGAGAGCAGGAGGGCUCCCUGCCGUCCGGUGACGGCAGCCUCACCACGCAUGUGAGGAUGAGGCCGAGCAUCUUUUCAAAGCACAGGCGCGUCUGCAUUCUCACGUACAGCGUCCUUGAGAAAGCGGGGGUCGGAGGGAGCCCGUCACCAGGGCCAUUCUGCUGCAGACGAUGCAAAGGAGGCUACAUGUACACAACAUAUUUCAAUCAGGCGUAAUUUUUUAUAGGAACAGACCUAUGGAAAAAUCUAGAUUACUAACCCACGGCAGAUAUAAGCAGUUUAUGACGCUAUUUUGAGGAUCCAAGGGGGAGCUCCCACUCACCCUCUCAGGCUGUCCGCUGUCCCACUCUACUUAAUUUUGUAGGGAAACAAUCGUCCUGAAUUUGUUAUCCUGGAUUGUCAUGGAAAUAAACAUUCUCAUUAUUCCAACCCCAUGCAAUCAAGUAAGAAGUUCUAAUCAAAAUGGAAAAUGAUCAGCUCAGCUGCUUAACACCUUAAGAAGUUGCAAGAUGAAUAAUAAACUCCACGCUGUGAGUGUUGCCGAAUGCCAGCUGCCGAGAUCCCGUGGAGUCCUCACGGCAGCCCCCGAGGUGAGUAUGAGUGUCAUACCCAUUUUAUAGCUAAGGAUGCUGCAGAUCUGAAAGCCAGGGCGCUGGCCUCAAGUCUCACAGAGAACAGACAGGUGACACGCUCUUUGGUCAAACCCACACCUGGCUCUCCUCCCCACGCUUCACUGUCACGUGAGCACUACCAGAGACUCAUCGGCUCCGACGGCCGCAGCACAGCACGGCGAUCCUAGGAGGAAGGGCACAGCCCCACUCUACACGGACGGAGUCCACGGAGGAGGUGCGCCCCCACCAUCGGCUGCGUCGUGGUGGCUUCCUGGACAACGUUAAUGCUCGAGCAGCUCUGAGCACCCGAGGGGGGAAGCCAAGGAAGGGGUGGGGAGAGGCAACAGAGAGGAGAUGGCGGCAAGGGCCUUGCAGGCGGGGGAACGGCACACACGAGGCACGGAUGCAAGAAACAGGCUUCAGAAUUUGAGUCUACAAGUACUUCCAUCAGGGUCAAGAAGCACUGACCAAAUGCCGAGCCUAGAAUAUUCCUCCGUAUAAAAUGCCUCCUCCAUGUGCCAAACACAGGUCAGAUCUUCUUCUCCUGGCUUACUCACAUCCUCACCAGCCAAUUAAACACAGUGUCCCGUACUGGUGACGACGGGAGCCUGCUGGCAUGGAGAUGGAACGUACUCUCUCUGGAAUGUUCUGUGUUAAGCCCCAUGGUUUUUUCAAGCAUUGGCCAGGAACAGGGCAGUCGCUCUUACAGCUGACCUAUUAUAUACCAAGUGGCAAUGUGUAAUUUUUCUGAGGAAUCGCGUGCGGCUACAGAGUUUUAAAAAAAGGUCUUCGGAUGGAGAACUGGCACUCCGCGAGGGCGUGGGAGAAAGGAAGGGAGCGUGGGAGGAAGGGCCUCUGAUGAGUGAGACCCGGGCUGCACUGACCGCCUCUCUGCAGACAUCAUCUCACUGAACCUCCACAGAGUCGCCAUCCUUGAACAUGAAGCAGCUGAGGCACAGUGACGCUGAACCACCAGGUCACACAGCUCAGAAGGGACAGCACCUACACUCGAAGCUCAGGUGCCAACGUCACCACGUGCUGAAGACCUAUGCCAGGGGCGGGGGGCGGGCUGUGCGGUUCACCCAGACCUGCCCUGCUCCCUCCCCGAACGUCUCACUUGCCCGUCUGGGGUUUCCAUGACCCCUCCUCGCACCUGGAAAUGUCUGAGAAGUUAACUCAACUAUCCAAGGAUGAACAAGAACAAGCGAGGACCAAAGCCCUAAGUCAGGUCUGUCUGAUGCCACAGCGGAUGUUUAUCCUACUCGAGCUGUUGCUCGGAGUGCGGAGGAGAUCCUUCCAACAGGAAAGCGGUGACAGUCUCUUAAAUCACGACACUGCUUCUCUCCCUCAUCGCAUGUCACACUCACAUCUCUCCUGGCACCUAACAUGCCCUCCCACGUGAGAAAAAUGAGGUCAAAGGAUGGGAGCCAUGUCUAACUCAACUGCUCCCUACAGUGCUGAUCCCUCCCAGAUCAGACAGGUAAGAGGAAGACUGAUAUGAACACGAGGGCUGAAGACCGUCCGUGACUCACGCAAGAGUCUCUAAUACGGACGUUGUGUUGCAGCAGUUGUGGCAAUUUUCCGGGGUGGGAGGUGAACCUGGAAUUCAUCCCAGAAUCAUCUUCAGUGAAUCUCUUCCAAAGUUUAAUUAGAAAAACUACUGGACUGAGCACACGUGGUCCAGAGAGUAGCUCCGGACCGGCUGGCCUGGGCUAGUGUUUUCGCUCUACUUGGGAGCUUGUAAUCCUUCCGCAACCAUUAAGAAUUUUUACAGAUGAAGCAGAGUAAGUGAAAAGUAACAUUUAAAAUGAAACUGUGGGACUACUCUUGUUUUCCCAAUAUCACAGAUAACUGAAAGACUUGCAAUUCCUUCAGGGUAAUUGGCUAAAAAAUUUCCAAUCUGCUUUCAGUAAGAGCCUUACUUCUCUAAUAGUUCUUUAAUAAGAUUUCAGAACAUUUCCUCAGGAAGGUGCCGAAUAAAUAAGUCUCCGCACUGGGCUGCACCGGUCCGAUGGCAGAGCGGCAGCCAAGGUCUGGUCGUCGGCCCAUUGGUUUGCUACAUCCGGGCCUCCCCCUUGGUCACGGCCGCCCCUCCUGGGGGCUGCUCCCCAAACGGAGCUAGCUUCCUCCAAGACAGGAGAGAUGGGGGUAAGGGCACUUCAUUCCUGUCUUCCGGGUUUGGCAAAGCGUGUUCAGAUCUAAACGCAAGGCUGUUAAUCCUUUGCCCCUCUUCCCCUGAGGAUCGCAAAUCUGGACGAGGCAGCUUUGAUGUGGGAGGGAGGCCAGGGCCGGCCCCUCUUCGUAGGCCACCCCUGGCUUCACAGUACCCCGCGUGUGAUGGGCACGCAGGGAACACACUUCUGCCCUCAGGGAGCUGACGGCGUGAGGACAAUUCAGUGGACCAAAGGGCUGCACGAGGGUUAAAGGGCCCUCGAUAACUAGCUUCCUACGCUUGCCGCUGGGGGCGGCUCUCGCCCCGCGCUCUCCCAGAGCCCUAGUAUAUGCAUCCUGUGUGUGCAAACCGGCCUAGAGCGGUGGUGUUCCAAGUGUGGCUUGGGCACUCCUAAGAGCCCCUGCCAUCAAUCACGGGUCUGAGCCCCACAUCGGGCUCUGCGCUGGUGGCGCAGAGUCUGCUUGGGAUUCUGUCUCUCCUUCUCUCUGCCUCUCCCCUGCUGGGGCUCUCUCUCAAGAUAAAUACAUAAACUUAAAAAACAUUUUUUUUUAAAAGUAUGUUUGUUUAAACAUGUCCUUGAUGAAGCAGUACAGAUUACUAAUUUUAAUAGAUCUCCACUAUUAUUCUGCAGGAUGAAACAGAAGGGUGCUUACGGGAGGUCGGUGGCUGGCUGGGGCGUGGGGGUGACCUCGGGCUUUCUCGCGGCACAGCUUUCCACUUGAAAGAAUCAAGUGCAGACACACUAUGGUUACUCCGACGCACGUGUGUGGCAGACACGUUCUCAGAGAUGAACGAAGUGAGCCUGUCUCUUCAGGAAAAACUGACAGUAUUUGUUACCGAUGACUCAAUUCAAGCUUUCAGGUAUGUGCUGCAAUUUUGGAAAGUUAGUACUGACCACUGUAAACGGAUAAUAAGGCAGUACUUCUACAGACCUCUCUGUUGAGACCGGUGGUGGUGGCAACAGAUACGGCUCUUUCGUACUGCCCAGGGAAAUGCGUCACAGGACCGUGAGAACACGCAUGUCCCAGCGAACCAGUGUUUUUCGUAUGACCCAGGUCUGAUGUUUCCAAACCCACCAAAUGGAAGAUGGACCAAGGUGUUUCAAUGAGACAGAGUAUGACAAGUUUACUGAUGUGGUUUCAGAAUCCACACUGCAGCUAACCUUUCAGAAACUACCACUUGCCAAAUUUCGGUGGAGUCAUCAAAGAAUACCCACAGUUAGGUGCAAGGCUGUCAAAAUUCUUUUCUUUUCCAACUGCGUAUUUGUGGUUCCAACUACUUCAACCCAAACAACAUGUCCCAUCAGACUGAACACAGAGGCAGAGAGAAGACUCUAGCUAGCUCCCAUGAAGCUGGACAUUAAAGAGAUUUGCAAAAAUAUAAAACAAUACUGUUUUUGUUUUGGAAAGUAGUGAUUUUCCAUAAAAACAGAUUUUUUUUUUAUGUUAACAUGCAAUGAGUUGGCUACUGUCAUGUAUUUCAUGAUUAAUAACUAUUUUUAAAGUUUCUGUUUUUAAUUUCACAUGUGAUAAAUGUUGACAGAUACAAGCCAUACACACCAGACGGCUUCGUGGCCCUUACAAUAAAGGACAGAGGAGUUCUGAGACCGAAGGCUUUAAGCCCGGGCACAGGUCACCUGCCUGCAGGAAGUGUGUGAGAGCACAGUGACUCCUACACGCUGGCCUGAAGAAUGAUUCUUUGAUCUGGAACAAUGUCUCUCCGUCCACCCGGUGACGGGGGAGGAAGAAGGGCUCACUCACAGAACUAGCCUGUGGACAGAGCUCCGUGUCACAGCCGCCCGGCCCCAGGUCUCACGCGUACCAGGAUCAAAAACCGCCGUUUCUGGCAAGAUCGGGAAAAGAGGGGAAACUUAAAUUUCGUAUAAGCAGGACAGAUGCGUACACCUCCCCAGAUCCAUCAGGCACAGAUCUAACGUGGGGACAGUUUCAAUUUCCUCACAGUACAUGUCACUUUCUAGUGCCCAGAAUGCAAGAAAAUAGAAGUAAAAAGGUUUGAAAUAAAGAGUUCUCUUUAGGAAUUAGAAACAUUA
This is a long non-coding RNA of Felis catus (domestic cat), 5342 nucleotides long. RefSeq lists it as uncharacterized. The transcript has 5 exons. The record is from RefSeq and is a predicted model, not a curated record. Lineage: Eukaryota; Metazoa; Chordata; Mammalia; Carnivora; Felidae.